ACCGUCGAAAUGUUUACCUUGAAACGACCUUGUGUGUCUUAGUAUGUUUAAUUGUGUUUUUUGAGUCCAUUUUAAAUGAUAUUUAUGCGAUAGGUACUAAAAUUAUAUAAGACCAUAUUCAGGCUGUAAAAAUGCGAUAAAACAUCCCCGAGGAACAACAAAGAGUCCUUGAUGAAGGAACCUUCUCAAGAGCAUAAGGCUGUCUAGACAAACCCCAAAAGAUGGAGGCAAUCGAAAGCCAGUUUGAUGGUCGAAUGCAUGUUAAUGGUGGUCAUGGUUCAAUACUUUUCCUAAGGAUUAUAUUCUCCAAAAAUUCAGCCUCUUUCCCAAUCGACAUGGAUCCUGGACAGUCCGUUUGUGAACUUACGCCCCGUUGAUGGGCAGUCAUAUGUUGGGUCUCUAACCUGCGCAUCUUACUGUUAAAUGUAUGAGGUGAAGUGGAAAUUUCAUGCCACGUUCAAAUAAAUGUUUGAGCGGUUUCCUAAGGGAAUUCUAGGUUUAGGUGGAAGGUGAGAAGGUGUCUUGAAGGAAAGCGUGGAUUCUAGUUAUCGUUCUAGAAAAGUUUGAAAUACGUCCUCAUUUUACUCGAGACAUUAGAUUUCUUUCGAUUCUUGUUUCGAAAGAUUGUAAUAGACUUAUCAGAACUAUAUUUUGAUGUAUGGACCGCGGCCCAAGUAUUAUUGUGUCUAAGGAUUGAUGAUA
Molecule: long non-coding RNA, 702 nt
Organism: Solanum lycopersicum (tomato)
Lineage: Eukaryota; Viridiplantae; Streptophyta; Magnoliopsida; Solanales; Solanaceae
Source: RefSeq, a predicted model, not a curated record